AAAUUUUUUUUUUGAGGAUCCCUUAUUACAACCGACUCGCCGUGCUUUGCGUCCGGUUAGCUCUCGCACCGACAUGCAUGCCCGCACCUUGGGCGAACACCCUCUGGUCACGGAACAAAAAUCCGGUGCACCGGAUGGAUAUGUGCACCCACUGGACCGGUGACAUGGCUAACAUAUGCGUAGUAGUUUUCGUUUUUUUUUUUGCGAGGGGCGUAGUAGUUUUCGUUACUGGCAUAUUUACCAUAACAUCGUGUUUUUUUAUUUAAAAAAAUAACAUGCACUCUGUCUUAUUGAGAUUUUGCUGUGAACCCAAUUUUUUGAUACAAAACUAAGUUUCAAGGAAGAGAUGAUACGAGAUUGAGAUCAUUUGAAGCAUGGACUUUAGUUGUUGUAUGCCAUCUUCAACCAUUCGCGGCAUGGUUGAGGAUUGAUGCUCAUGGCUGAGAAAACAUGAGGUGUAAUGUCGCUGGCGCCUUAUCAAUACUCAUGGCUGAGUCCCAUCGGGGACAUCCGAUAAAUACUCAUGGCUGACCAAUGCAGCAGUUGUACAGGUUCAUCAUGCAUGCAUUGGCGCCUCUCCCGCCAAAUCUUACAUUACUAAGAAGUUUAUCCCUACUACAAGGCAUUCUCUUGACAUGCACUUCAGUUACCACCGACGAUAAACCAUCUCUCUUUCGCCAGACCCUCUUCGGCCUCUCCACCCUCUCCGCCCAAUAAUCUCCACAAUUAACUCCUCUGCCAAUUAAUUUUCAUCACCGAUUCCUAUUCAUCUUCUCCAUCACGAUCCCCUUUAAACUUCCAUCUUCCACACAGAGAUUAGAAACACACCGGCCGCUGGUACAGCUGCCGCCCCCAGCCGUCCACCCCACGAGAGCCACCCACCGCCGCCCACCCCCACCCCCUCCCCGUCUGGACCCCGUAAGUCGCCGCCAGCAACUUGCGCGCCGUCGCCAGCCAACUGACCACCGGCGCCGCCCUCGACCAAGCCGUUGCGCGCGCCAUCUGCCCCAACCCCAUCGCGUGCCGCUGGUGGCAACCUUCCCGAGCCCUCGCCGCGAUAGCCACAACCAUCCGCAGCUGUGGAUCCACCUUCCCCAACACCGAUCUGUACCCCGUGAUUCGACUUCUCGCCGCCGGCUAGCCUGCUUCAGUGCCACCGGGCAAGCCCACGGAGCAGCGCCCGCCCAACGCCCUGACAGUGGCCAGCGACGCAUGUGUCCUUGGCCCCACCCAUCACCACCGACCAGACUACUUCUUCCUCCUUCAUCUGAAAACGACGAUCUGGAGGAGCCCACAACGGUGUCCCGUUUCUUCUCUAGUCAAGCUCUUCUUUUAUUUUGAAUAAGGCUUUUGUCAAGUUCCUCUACUCUUCUUGCAUCGUGAGUGUGGCAUCGCCGAGUCCAUGAAAAUUUUCACAACAUGGUAGUGGUACAAAGAUAAAUGGUGCGAUGCGAAGCAGCUGGUGGAUUCUGGGGGAUGCCAUCGUCGCACUAGGCCACCGUCGAUCACCAUCCGCUUACAGGAAGGUUUCAGAACUCAGAAGCUCCCUCUUCACCAUCCCUGCAAUCUUUUGCCUAUUUGGUUAGCGUGUUUCUUAUCUUGAUUAUUGUAGCUAUUAGAAUUGUUGGAUCUUUUGAUAUUUGGUCCUCGAUCUGACAAGUAUUACCUUUUUGAUAAAUAACUUUGUAAAACUGCAUCAUUCAGUUCAUUUCUUAGGUCAUCUCUAGUAGUAGUUAAUUUUAAGUCAAGAUUGAAGUUUUAAUAGUAAUCUAAGGACUGUACAUCUUGGUUAUUGUCUUAUUGAUUAUACAAUACAUAUUAGAGGAAAUUACAAGUGCCUUAAACAACCUACUGAAAUCUACGAUUACAUAGAGGUGUAGCCAUGGUUGAAGAUCAGGGCCAGAGCCAGAUUUGGACCAUGCUCUGAGCUGGCAGUUUUGCUUUGUGAUGUUAAUCAACACAUUUUCCCUCUUAUCUCUAUACAUCUUUACUGGUCCUAUAAGCGAUUCUGCAGGGUUACCAUGAUAGAUAAUUUUCUCAGAAACACAAAUCCAGGAGUACAUUUGUUCUGGGAUGGGGUGAAUUUAUUGGAGGAGACUACCAGUAAGUACUAUCUUUCCUUAAUGCCUGAUUAUAUCGCUGAAAUUAGCCUCGCCGUGCAUUUGUGCUGUCGUGCAUCGCUUUCGUAGGAGAUCUUGCAGCUUUCACUCAUCGGCGAUCUUAAUGGAGUUGCUAUGAACCAAAAUGUUCAGAGUAAAUAUCAAGAGUCUAUUCUCCCAUUUAAGUUUCUUCGAAGAAUCAAGAAUGCCAAGUACAGCACAACUUCUAAUUGUUGCUCCGAAUGAAAAAGAGAAAAUCAUCUGAGUAGGGAUUUCUAGACAAGGUACAACCUACAUGUAAGUUUUUCAAAGAAGUUAUCAUGCCAGUAUACAUAAAUAAAAUUUAGUUUUACUUAUGUACAUUACUGCUUCCUUAGCAAUUAAAAGAACUAUAUCGAUGUACGCUAUUCAUGAUGCCUCUCUGGAUGUUUGGAACAUACUCCCUCCGUUCCUUUAUAUACGGUGUAUUUGUUUUUUGAUAAAAUUGCACAAUGUAAGGUGCAUUUCUUUUAAA
This is a long non-coding RNA of Aegilops tauschii subsp. strangulata, 2613 nucleotides long. RefSeq lists it as uncharacterized. NCBI's taxonomy places the organism in Eukaryota, Viridiplantae, Streptophyta, Magnoliopsida, Poales, Poaceae. The record is from RefSeq and is a predicted model, not a curated record.